RNAcentral lists this ribosomal RNA (62 nucleotides) under Tuber ferrugineum. RNAcentral describes it as "partial 18S ribosomal RNA". It matches the Rfam family "Eukaryotic small subunit ribosomal RNA", at positions 1769 to 1830 of the family's 1831-position model. Lineage: Eukaryota; Fungi; Ascomycota; Pezizomycetes; Pezizales; Tuberaceae. The record is from RNAcentral.
UCAUUUAGAGAAAGUAAAAGUUCGUAACAAGGUUUCCGUAGGUGAACUGCGGAAGGAUCAUU